CAGAAGCAGUUCUCUCCUCAAGAGAACUUAGAGUCUGUAGCAUAUACCUAAUACUGCUGAAAAUAAACAGCAAAAUAACAAAUAAUAAUAAUGAUCAGCAAGAAGAAGAGAGUACCAAUUUUACCCUUAAGUCAAGAGAUUCCCCAAUUUUUUUUCAAAUUUCAGUGAGGCAUUCCAGAGUACAAUUUACAGCUGAAGUAUUUAUAAAAUGGUAUCUAUGUUUUCUGUUCCUGAUACAUGUAUGUUUCUCUCUAGGUACAAUGAAACUAGGAUCUUCCUCUUUUUUAAUUCCGAGGCAGGUAAUAUGUAAAUAACGAGAAGAAGUUGGAGACACUGAGUAUAUCAGCAGAUACACCUGAUUCUUUAUAUAAAAAAGAGAACUGUCUUGGAAGAGGAAAGCCCUAUUCAGUACUGACAUCUUGUGCCAAAAUAAAGCAGCCCUGAGACUGGACCACAAGUAUGCCAGAUUUUUCAAGUCCUCAUUUGGAAGACUGCAGAGAAAUACCCCUGCACAUUUUUCAAUAUCCCCUCCAUAGCCAGUGGAAUCAGAGGUGUCAGAGAAGAUUUUAUUUUGUCAGCAUAAUCUUGAAUGCUGAUGAUAUGUAUGAAAACAGUAAUCUAGUUACAUGUCAACUGUUGGAAGUUUUGUUGGAAGAUUUGCAACUACAAAACAUCUUUUUACUUGAAACUUAUAUUUCAUUCAAAAACCAUUUCUGCCCAAUAAACAAGAAAUACCCUGAUGUCGUUUUGUAGUCACUUUUCAGAGCAUAGCAGUUAAUCUAACUCUACAGUUACACUGUUACUGUGUAUUAAAAAAUGUAUGUGAUGUUCAGAUACCUGCAAUAUAGACCUAGGGUUAUCUUAAACUUGGCAUUUUUAUGUCUUUUAAAGCUGCCAUGCUGUAAACUGCACGCAAUCCAGUAAAAAAUCCUGUUUUCUUUCCUUUAAAUACAGUUGAUCACUAUUUCAGGAAUAUUUACCACAUCAGCAUUUAUCAUUGUACAGGAUCCCAGUAGGCAAAGUACUCUGCAACAAUGUCUAAGAGGGUCUCUGCCUCUCAAAAUAGGGUACCUAGUUCAUCUUUCCUGCUGGUGAGAUAAAAUUCUUACUCCACUGUUUUAUGACUGAUUUUACUUAUCUCCAGCUAUGCAAAUGCCACAUUUUUGCAUGUUUUGCAAAACCUGUUGACGCCCCAUCCUGAAUCAAUCAACAGCAAACCUGAAUAUUUCACCUCUGUGAAACAGUCUCUGUUAUUAUCAUAAAAAUCACAUGGGCAACAGUAGGCUGGCAGUCUAUGUUUGAUGUUUCUCCUCCCUGCAGCAGAUAAUAUAUGUGCAUAAUUGCUCAAGUGCCAUCUGGUUGCAACUUAAGAUGUGUUGCUCAUUGAUAAUGAAAGCACUGAUUUGGUCCCCACACAUAAAAUGGAAGUCUGUUUAACACAAGCAUGCAUGAUUUUGUAGGACCCUGAUAUAAAAAAAGAGCAAUGCCUUGUCAAAACCUUUUAAGAACUGUGUAUUUAAUAAUAGUUUUUGUAAAUAGACUGAAAAUAUGGCUGAAAGAGACGUGAUUGUUUUGGAAUUGAAAAGUUUAAUUGUUGCUAUGAGCAUGGAGUGGCAGCGUGAAGCUCCCAGCCCAUUUAAUCACACUAUAGGGCACCUAUAGGGCUUCCCUAGCAGAGAGGAGAGGGAAGAGUGAGGUUAAAAGGUGGUUGGGGCUCAGGCCAGAGUGCACUGCAGUAACUUGCAAAACUGUCCUUGACACCUGUGUGUAUGGCACUGCCCUGGUCUGCUCAAAACGUGAGGUGGUGUCAGAGCAAUUGGAAAAAAACCCAGGAAGAAGUGACAACUGAGCAAAAGUAUUAUUCAAAUGCAUGAAAGACUUGCAGAUAUGAGAAGAAAAACCCAUAAUAAUCCUUUUUUUCAUGUCCAUUGAUAGUGCAAAAAGUAAUGUGAUUAAACUGUGGCAAGCGAGAUUUACUUUAAAGCAGGGGAAACUCUUUAAUGAACAGGGAGUGACUGGCAGGGAUCUCUUGCCUGAAGCAGUUGUCAAGUGCCCAUUAACAAGGAGGCUCUAGAAGAGGUUGAACGCAUACCUGCCAAGAUAAGCUUAGCCCAUUCUGCCACGGGGCAGGGAGAUGAAAGAAUGACCUCUGAGAUCCUUCCAACCCCUGCUGUGGUCCUCUGUAUUCUGCAUAGUCUCCUCAUCUCUCAUGCCUCUGUAGCAACAUUUGUGCAUAACUUGUCAUUUCAAGGAGCAAUGCCCUUAGCAGUUCUUCCCUUUGACCGGUGUUUGAGAUGACAAAAAGGUGAAGUAUUAUGUAUUUGGUUUUUUGAAAUAAUUUUUAAAAUUUGCUUGUCUACCUGAUAAUGUUCAUUUUAAACACAUAUUAUUGCCAUUUCAAAUGUGUGCAAAAGUGAUAAGGGAGGUGACUAGCAGCUUAUUAUUAAUUUUCUGCUUUUAUUUUCGGGAGAUUAACAUUCUGGCAAGAAAUUUAAUUGGACUUUUGUUAAUUCUCACAGUGAUGCUUUGGUUUUUCCUUUUGGGACUGGAGAGAAAAGCCAGCAUCUGGUGUUUGAGGAUGCUAGGGACUUACACCAUAUUAUGUCUAAUAUCUCUACUGUGAAUAAACAAAAUGAAUAAUUAAGUGAAUAAUGAAGU
RNAcentral lists this long non-coding RNA (2658 nucleotides) under Parus major (Great Tit). RNAcentral's name for it is "lncRNA (ENSPMJG00000016912.1)". The record is from RNAcentral. Lineage: Eukaryota; Metazoa; Chordata; Aves; Passeriformes; Paridae.